GUCACUGCACUCAAGCCUGGGUAACACAGCAAGAUUCCAUUUCAAAAAAUAUGUAUGUGUAUAUGUAUAUUCUUCGAAUGCACUCAGGUACAGACACUGUUGACUGUCUUUCCAACAGCCUUCUUCCUUGCUAACAGAGCAUAACACUAAUUAAUUAUGCUCAUGUGGCAAUGCCCAACCUCAGGGAUGAUGCUGGAUUGGUCUAAACUGAUCACAGUAAUCUUCCUCUUUGCUAGUGAGUGGCCUAGGGUUGGUACACAAUCCACUUCUGACCAGUAAGAUAAAAGAGAGGGUCUAGUGGAAAAAGUUUUCCUUCUUGCCAACAGAUGUACAGGAAGAGAAAGUACUCAUUUGCUACCACUCCCACCACCAUCACCUUGCUUCUCAUUUUGCGUUUUCAUGUGAGGAUGUGACAUCCAGAGCUACAGCAGCCAACUUGUGGCCAUGGGAAGACUGCUAAAACUCCAAGGACAGCAGAAUAAAAAGAAAAUCAAAGAAGGGCUCUUAAAGACAUCAAUGAACCAUCCAAGACAGCCUAGCACUGCCAACCUAAAGACUUCUUUGAAGAUAAACCGGUGUCUUUUAUGGUUUAUGCCACCGUUUGUUGAGUUUUCUGUUAUCUGCAGCCCAAAGCACUCUAACUGAUAAUCUUAGAAAGAGCAAACUCUUGACCUUACCACAGAAGGCCCUCUGCAUGAUGUGCUACUCAAAGUGUAGUCUACAGACCCACAACCUUGGCAUUGCCUGGGAGCCCAGCCCUGGGCCCAUGAAUCAGAAUCUCCAAGGGUAAAGUCCAAAAGUCUGUGUUAUAACAAGCUCCCAGCUGGUUCUUGUGCAUGGUAAAGUUUGAGAAACACUGCUCUACAAAGUUAUCACAAAUUACUUUUUACCAUCUCAGCUACUACCCUACGUAGGAUGAGGUGCACUUGAUCUGCAAUUUGUCUGGUGACAGUAACCUUACUGGGUUUGAGCAUCAUUUGUUGCUCCUUUAGUUUCUUCUCCUCUUAAUCAAAGUCUUCGAACUUGAAGCCUCCAGGACCUGAGAGGAUUACAAAGGUCUGAAUAUAAGACAGGCUGUGAAGCAGGCCGUGAUGAACUACGGGGUACAGGCACAUCUGAAGGACACUGAGCAGACGUUGUCAUACAAGGAAAUUGGUUCAGUGUUUUCACAUUUCUAAAGAAAAGCUGGAAUCCAGAUUUAUAUGCAAAGUUUUUUAGAUAUAGACAACCAAGGUUGUUUUAAUACUCUGCAGAUUAAACACAUUUUCAAGUGGAUUCACAUCCACCUGAGUUUGUGACAUGAAGUAGAGAUUCCUUGAAAUAUCGACACAUACUUUGAAAACUGUGACCACAUACAUUCACUGACUUCAUUUAAAAUGACUAAAAUUAAUUUUCUUUGGCUAACUAUAUGCUAGUCUCUACUGAGCACAGGGUCUUCAUCAAUAGCCCGGCAUCUGGAGUGGUCAAAUAAAGAGUUUGUGGACCUCUAGUUAGGGGCAGCAGGACUGUUUUAUCCAUUAAUCACUAUAGACCACACACUUAGAACUGCAAGCUUCUCAUGGGUCCACAACAAUAUGAGAAAAAAAUAAACUGGCCACACAACACCAGAAAACUACAAAAUUACAACUGAUAGGUGUGAAGCUAAAUGUUUACAAAAUGUAAAAACGUAAGUCAAUGGAUCCAUAUCAAUUCGGAUAUGGUAUCAUAUUACAUUAGAUUAAAUGCAGGAAAGUGGAUGCAUUUUAAUGUUUGAUGGGGCGUGGAGGGGAGCUCAGAUCAAUAGUGCUUAGAGCUGCCAAGGUUCUAAAAAGGCCCCGGGUACCAACCUGAAGCCAACCAUUCUGUGGUAAGUCUAGUCUUCACAGGUGUCACAAAUUUCUUUACGCAGCUCUACUCCAUUCUAUUCAACUGUCUACAUAGUUGGACAUGGGAGUAGAACUGUCCACAUAGUUGCACAUAAACCAUAAAUGACUUAUUAAAAAAGUAUGUUUGGAUCCUCAUCUACACAUGAAUUUAAGACAAGAAGUGCAAGAAUCAGCACACAAGCAAGUUUUGAGGGUCCCACAUAAUGAUUUUAAUUAUUUUUUGUUAAUUUAUUACAACAUUUAAAAUUCAUGAUAAUUCACAUAAAAACCCUGAUUAUCAUCCUCUUGAAAAAAGAAUUGUAAAGUAUAGAGACAUUGGACCCAAAUGUUCGCAGGGCAACAGUCUACUAAUGCUGAUCAAAGCUACCCCUUUAAAUGGGGUAUGUUCUCUACUUGGCCACAAACCCCUAUCUCCAUGUAGGCUAACUUACUGCCCACCCCCCCCACCCAAGAGACAAUUGAGUUUAUGUUCCCUGGUCUAAGGCUCUUAGAAAAACCUUAUUUCUUUUUCACAAUGUGGCUUCAAUAUCUUACAUGAAGACUUGUCAUGGUAGGAUAUAGGAAUCUCUCAAUCUCUCAAUCUAAGAAGAGUUUCAAUCAAAUUCCCCUCUCAAUAUGUUCUCAAUUUGAAUCAUGAUCCCCAAGAAGAUGGACAAAUGACAAAUUACCCUUCAGUUUCUUUUACCCUUCAAGCUAGCCAAGCCAGAAACCCAAUCAGGUGGAGUCAAAGCACUAAUAUAAGAAUGUCUUAAUUAAGCAGAGUGAUCAAUAAAUAAUACACAUAAUAAUUAGAAAGCAAAGUCUGGGACUGAUAGAAUAAAAACAACAUAGCACUGAUCUACGUAAGGAUGAGAGGUCAAUAGCCAUAAUUCAAAAGGAAAAGCCCUAAAAAUAUGUAGAAAUAGCUAGUAAAUAGAGUUUAGUCCAAGUUCGUUAAUAACCCACUAUAUGAUUUCACCUCACACCUACAUUAAAUACAGUAUCUUAUUUUGGGAUGGCAGAAUUCUGACAACUACAGGUUGAGUAUCCCUUAUCUGAAAUGCUUAGAACUAGAAGUUUCAGAUUUAGGGGUUCUUUGGAUUUUGGAAUAUUUGCAUAAUACUUACCAGUUCAGCAUCCCUAAUCCAAAAAUCUGAAAUCUGAAAUGUUUCAGUGAGCAUUUCCUUUGACCGUCACAUCAGUGCUCAAAAAAGUUUUGGAUUUUGGAGUAUGUUGGAUUUCAGAUUAGUGCUACUUAAAUUAUAUUUGCUAAUUGAUAUUCUGUGUAUUAUUUUCUUACUGGUGAAAAGACAAAUUGAACUCAGGAAAGAAAAAUUACAAAUAUAUAGUCAAAGAGUCACCAAUUCAUUUGAGUAACAUAAUGAGUUUUUAUUUCUUAAUAUACGGGGUUUAAUUUGUUAACCACACCAGAAAAAGAAAUGUUCAAACAGUCAACUUUCUACUUGAAAUUAAAAUGGAAAUUAGCCCUUAGGAAACAGUGAUGACUUUAAGUUUAUACAUCAGUGGCUGGUUCAUGAAUUAUUAACUGAUUUUAAUGAUCCUGGCUAUAUUUUAUUUGAAGUUAUUCUCCUACUUGCAACGACUUUUGAACCCACAAAACUCUUUCAUCCAUUCUCCAUAGACACAGUACACUUUCACGAGCGCUGACAUUUGAAAAGGAUCCAUAUACUCACAGAAUGUAAAGAUAAUACACAUUCAUAUAAUUUAUACAAAGGACUCUGGUCAUUUGUUAAAGAGAGAAAUGAAUGAAACCCUAUUAUUCACGGUUUGUAAAUAAAUUUAAAGAUAAGCGCUAACUUUCACUUGUUAAGCUUAGAGCCAAGAGUUCUGUGUUUCUUCUAAAGUUUCCCAGAUGGUCAUUAAAACAAGAGAGGGCAGAAACAUACUUUCUUUGAAAUCCAUCAUUUCCUAUCCAGAAAGAUAAUACAUGUCAUCAAAAGUUAAGUCUUUAGAGAUUAAUUAAUAAUUUGAGUAUUUUCUAAUAAAAUAAAUGCAUGUCUUUAUUUUUACAUUUUCAGUUUUUACAUUUUCAGUAUAAACCUAUAUUGAACAGCACCACUUCAGACACACAAAUUAGCUGUGAAACAAAAUGCUAUAAACCUUUAAUUAGCACUUGCUGCUUUAUACCCAUAAAGUUAAUACUUCCUCUUCUACUAUAUUCUCUGUAAAGAAAAAUUAUGGAAAAUUAAAUUGUGUUUUUCACUUCUGAAAAUAAAAGUAGCAAAAUAUAGUAUUGUGGCUCAGUUUAAAGAUAGUUAUAUUUUUACCUGCAAGGAAGUCAAUACAAACAUCCCUUAAAAUAAGUAUAAUUUGAUUCCUACCAAUAUUAAGCGCUAUGUCUAACUUUUGUAACUUGGGUACACAGAACACUGAUGACGAUCAGAUUGCUAAAUAAGUAAGAAAGCAAGUUAUUUCAGGCAAAUAGCUGCAUUAAGAAAAUACGACAGUAAGCCAACUUGCAUCCACACUCCUGAAGCUGAACAAGCAUCUCAAUAAAUAAUGUCUGUUUUCAAGCUUUAUAUACCCUCCCUGAAAUAAAUGUUCCGAGCUUAAAUAGACUCAAAAUAGCCUUUCUCAGAAAAUAAAAAAGAGACACACACAAAACACCCCCAAUUUCCUCUGGUCCCUUGAAGUACCCUUGGGAUCCCAGUGAACAGAGAUUUGCCACGCAUUGCAGUCACUGCAUUUGUACAAUAGGUUUCUAUUUUGGUGUCAUUCGAGUGUUGCUGAUCUUAAAUCAGAGAAAGAAGGAGUUACAUUAGGCAAGGUAAUGGCUUCCAAAAAUAAGAGCAUGCCCAGUUUAUACAAGGCUUGCAUCCACAUGCUAAGUUGUAAGGAGAUAAAUAAUACCCCACUGGAACAAUUAGGUGGAUUCUCAGAAACACUACAUACUUAAUUAGGCUGCCUAAGUCCCUGACUGAGCAUACAUGGGGGACUUUUUAAAGCAUUUAAUAACCUGAGUAAAUCCAAAAUCAGAGGACACAAACUAAUCCUUAACUCUGGCUCCAGCGAUCGGCCUUUUCUUGCCUCUCUUUAAAUGCUUAGCGUAGCCCUUAGAAUGCGGAGAGCAGGAACGCUCCAACCACCAAAGGGUUAAAGCACAAGGAAUAAAGUCCCCUCGAUCUAUAUUUGCUGGGAGGCCCCUCUGUGCCAGACGCGGAGCUGGGCGAUGAUGACACUGGAAGGCGAGCAAGAGAGACCCUAAUGGUUUUUUACAAACUUCAGCACUGGAGUUGGGAACGGAGUAUAAACAAAUAGAAAGGAACACGAGCCUCCAUCAGCCACGGGGCACAGCAAACUGUUCCUCACUCUAGAUGCAAUUCCUCCUCUUCCUGUUAUUUAUUGAUUAGUUUUGUUUAGCACCUUUCUUUUAGCAGACUCCUUAUUUCCUCCUGUUAUCCAAGCAAUCAUAAACAAACUACGAUUUGAAAGAAAAAGGGAGGGAGGAGGGAGGAGCAGGAGGAAGGGUAAAGAAAACCACAUUCAAAAGGUACAGGCCAUCCAGAGCCCGACUGUUUCUCUGAAUUUCGCCCUCAGGGUGAUGUUUUCGGCAAAUUCGGCGCUGGGGGCUUCAGGGAGGACAGAGGACACCGAGGGGUGGUGGUGGGAGGGCGGGGGGGAAUUCUGCGCUGCCCGGGUACCAGGGCUGCGACUCUCGCCCGCCUCGCUGCUCCGAGCGGCGCCUGCUGCCCUUCUGAGGUCCACCUAGCCACCUGGAACGCUCGGUCCUCGAAGUUGGCGCAGGGGGAGGUGGAGAAGGUGAGGUGACCCCAGGGUAUGGUGUGGAGGUCUCCAAUCCCGAUCUCCCCGAAAUGCAAAACUUACCACCCCCGUCCCAGAAAAAAAAAAUGAGAGGAGAGAAGCCACUUACGCUAAGCGGGGAGGGGCGGGCACCCCGGUUCCAAGGUCCAAAGCGCCCUAGCGAAAGGGCAGCAAAGGCCACCUGCGGGGUCCCACCACUUACCCCACUCCCCUGUCCAAGGCAUACUCAAAAGUUUGUUCCUUUCCGUCCGUAAGCGGCCCUGAGGCCGGCUCUCGAGUAGGUGGGGGAGGUAAGAAGGACUGGGAGUGGGGGAGGGCAAGAUCAUCGGACCAGGAGAUCAGGGACCCCCUGCGUUGCCCCCCACUCACUCCAGGGGGGCUGCGAUCGUGUUUACUAAUAACAGCAACAAACAAUCACACGGGAGCCCCUCUUUCAGUCCUCGGUCUCUCUUCGCUUCUUUGGUGCAGCAAAGGAGAGUCUGGCGGGGAGGUGGGAGGGAGCGGAGAGGCUGAGGGGAGCGCCGGCUAGGGGACAAAAAGCGGCGUGGGAUGGAGCAGAAACAGAAGCGGGGAGAGCUGGACAGAGACGAAGGCUCAAAGAUAGCUCUUACAAGGAGCCAAAAGUCUGGAAAGCUAAGUUUUUCUUUGCAGACUCACAAUCCUCACCUUCUGCUCAUUCUGUCUUGCAUCUGGAGCAAUCUGAGCUUGAUUAAAGGACGAAGAAAAGUAUAAUCAAAGUUACAGAGACUAAACCUGAACUUGUAAUCAGACUUCGAGGAUCAGGAAUAUAAAUACGCUUUGCAGCGGAAACCCGCUAGCUGCAAGAAUGGGAAUUGCAAGUGGACUGAUGUGCUGCAUUCAGCUUUGGGCGGUGGAGCCUAGAAAAUGAAGCGAGAACUUUACCCCUAAGGCUCUCAGGAGUUAGGAAUGCGCAAUGACAAUCCCUAACUUCUGGCCAUUGUUUUGGAAAAGUCUUUCUCUUAAAUUUCCCUUCCCUGUUAGGAUGCAAAGGCUUUUGGGAAGGGAACAAUACUCAUCCGUCUGCAUUUUAUUAUUUGAUUUAGGAUGUAAGGUAAGCAAAAGAUCUGAGUUUGGAUUUUGAUUUAGGGGGAGGGGAAGAAUCCGGGUGAUGAGCUGAAGAUGUGUAUGUUGAGGCAUUUAGAAUGAGAAAAUCACUGGAACAGAAAAAGGGCAUCGGGGAAGGCUGCUGACUUGACGAUUUUGCCCAAUCUCCACGCAUUUGGCAGCUAGCUUUAUUUAUUUAUUUAUUUAUUUAAGUACCUACCAUGUGCCAGACAUGAUUUUAGGCACUUGUGAAUGAGAAAGAGGAUUCGAUUCCCAACAUGACACAUAUAGAAGUCCUCAAAGAGGACUAUGAAUUGAGCUCUUGGAACACAAAAUACACACGUACUCACAUGCACACGUGUAUACAUACCCUGAACCAUCCCAGUCACCUGGAGAUACUGACAUGGCACAGCCACUAGCUGCUGUUGAGAGAAGCAACAUGAGAAACAAACUCACAUACAGUGUGAAGGAUGCCAGCCUCUAUAUCCCCAUGGUAUUUGUAUAAGAAGGCUCAAGGGACGAGGCAGUGCACACUGAUAGAUCAUUGCUGAAUCCCAAGAACCUCAGACCAUGCUUGGUACAUAGUUUGUUUGCAGGAAAUAAAUAUUCAUUAAAGAAAGAAAGUUCAGAAAGAACAUGGGAAGGAAGAAGGAAAAAAAAUCAGAAUGUUUUAAUAGUGUAAUUUAUUUGCAGGGAACCUUAAGGCAGGAUUUGAGAAGAGUGUAUCCAGGGCCUCUGAUGUGAAUUAGAACAAUCUACCUUGGGUGGGGUGGGGGCCUUUUGCACCCUGCUGUUGUAGACUCUUCGUAAAUAUUAAAACUAGGAUCCUAUGUGGUUUCCUUUAGAAAUGA
Molecule: long non-coding RNA, 7543 nt
Organism: Cercocebus atys (sooty mangabey)
Lineage: Eukaryota; Metazoa; Chordata; Mammalia; Primates; Cercopithecidae
Exons: 2
Source: RefSeq, a predicted model, not a curated record